This 253-nucleotide ribosomal RNA is filed under the name uncultured bacterium. RNAcentral describes it as "partial 16S ribosomal RNA". It matches the Rfam family "Bacterial small subunit ribosomal RNA", at positions 524 to 776 of the family's 1533-position model. The record is from RNAcentral.
UACGUAGGGGGCAAGCGUUGUCCGGAAUCAUUGGGCGUAAAGCGCGUGUAGGCGGUUCGAUAAGUCUGCUGUGAAAGUCCAGGGCUCAACCCUGGAAAGCCGGUGGAUACUGUCGGACUAGAGUGCGGAAGAGGCGAGUGGAAUUCCCGGUGUAGCGGUGAAAUGCGCAGAUAUCAGGAAGAACACCCGUGGCGAAGGCGGCUCUCUGGGACGGUACUGACGCUGAGACGCGAAAGCGUGGGGAGCGAACAGG